GACAGAGGGUGCAAACGUUGUUCGGAAUUACUGGGCGUAAAGCGUGUGUAGGCGGUCCACUAAGUCGGGUGUGAAAGCCCUGGGCUCAACCUAGGAAGUGCACUCGAAACUGCGAAGCUUGAGUCCUGGAGAGGAAGGCGGAAUUCUCGGUGUAGAGGUGAAAUUCGUAGAUAUCGAGAGGAACACCGGUGGCGAAGGCGGCCUUCUGGACAGUGACUGACGCUGAGACGCGAAAGCGUGGGGAGCAAACAGG
Molecule: ribosomal RNA, 253 nt
Filed under: uncultured bacterium
Lineage: Bacteria
Description: partial 16S ribosomal RNA
Rfam family: Bacterial small subunit ribosomal RNA
Source: RNAcentral